CUACGGGCUGCAGCAGUGGGGGAUAUUGCACAAUGGGCGCAAGCCUGAUGCAGCAACGCCGCGUGAGGGAUGAAGGCCUUCGGGUUGUAAACCUCUUUUAGCAGGGAAGAAGCGAAAGUGACGGUACCUGCAGAAAAAGCACCGGCUAACUACGUGCCAGCAGCCGCGGUAAUACGUAGGGUGCAAGCGUUGUCCGGAAUUAUUGGGCGUAAAGAGCUCGUAGGCGGUUUGUCACGUCUGCUGUGAAAAUCCAAGGCUCAACCUUGGACUUGCAGUGGGUACGGGCAGGCUAGAGUGCGGUAGGGGAGAUGGGAAUUCCUGGUGUAGCGGUGGAAUGCGCAGAUAUCAGGAGGAACACCAAUGGCGAAGGCACAUCUCUGGGCCGUAACUGACGCUGAGGAGCGAAAGCGUGGGGAGCGAACAGGAUUAGAUACCCCGGUAGUC
This 444-nucleotide ribosomal RNA is filed under the name uncultured bacterium. RNAcentral's name for it is "partial 16S ribosomal RNA". It matches the Rfam family "Bacterial small subunit ribosomal RNA", at positions 339 to 795 of the family's 1533-position model. The record is from RNAcentral.